Molecule: ribosomal RNA, 257 nt
Filed under: uncultured bacterium
Lineage: Bacteria
Description: partial 16S ribosomal RNA
Rfam family: Bacterial small subunit ribosomal RNA
Source: RNAcentral
UACGUAGGGAGCAAGCGUUGUCCGGAAUCAUUGGGCGUAAAGCGCGUGUAGGCGGUCCGGUAAGUCCGCUGUGAAAGUCGGGGGCUCAACCCUCGAAUGCCGGUGGAUACUGUCGGGCUAGAGUGCGGAAGAGGCGAGUGGAAUUCCUGGGUGAUAGCGGGUGGAAAUGCGCAGAUAUCAGGAGGAACACCAAUUGCGAAGGCAGCUCGCUGGGACGUUACUGACGCUGAGACGCGAAAGCGUGGGGAGCAAACAGG